This 301-nucleotide ribosomal RNA is filed under the name uncultured bacterium. RNAcentral's name for it is "partial 16S ribosomal RNA". It matches the Rfam family "Bacterial small subunit ribosomal RNA", at positions 509 to 807 of the family's 1533-position model. The record is from RNAcentral.
CAGUAGCCGCGGUAAUACGUAGGGUGCGAGCGUUAAUCGGAAUUACUGGGCGUAAAGCGUGCGCAGGCGGUUCGUUAAGACAGAUGUGAAAUCCCCGGGCUUAACCUGGGAACUGCAUUUGUGACUGGCGAGCUAGAGUAUGGCAGAGGGGGGUAGAAUUCCACGUGUAGCAGUGAAAUGCGUAGAUAUGCGGAGGAACACCGAUGGCGAAGGCAGCCCCCUGGGCCAAUACUGACGCUCAUGCACGAAAGCGUGGGGAGCAAACAGGAUUAGAUACCCGGGUAGUCCCUGUCUCUUAUAC